Molecule: unclassified non-coding RNA, 197 nt
Filed under: uncultured Tuberaceae
Lineage: Eukaryota; Fungi; Ascomycota; Pezizomycetes; Pezizales; Tuberaceae
Description: sequence contains ITS2
Source: RNAcentral
ACAACUCCCUCACAUGAACCUGUGGUAUUGGCCAAAGUGGAUCGUACUUGCACUGCAGGUCUCACUCAGCUGAAAUCAAUGGGCCAGAGAAGUGGACCAUAGCGACAGACUCUCAGAGUGUUUUUGAAACGCUAAACUAGUCUCUAGCAGGUUGAAAUCUGAGCCGAUUGGACCCCCAUUUUAGUCCAAAUAAGGGA